CCUACGGGAGGCAGCAGUGGGGAAUAUUGCACAAUGGGCGCAAGCCUGAUGCAGCCAUGCCGCGUGUGUGAAGAAGGCCUUCAGGUUGUAAAGCACUUUCAGCGGGGAGGAAGGCGUUAAGGUUAAUAACCUUGUCGAUUGACGUUACCCGCAGAAGAAGCACCGGCUAACUCCGUGCCAGCAGCCGCGGUAAUACGGAGGGUGCAAGCGUUAAUCGGAAUUACUGGGCGUAAAGCGCACGCAGGCGGUCUGUCAAGUCGGAUGUGAAAUCCCCGGGCUCAACCUGGGAACUGCAUUCGGAACUGGCAGGCUAGAGUCUUGUAGAGGGGGGUAGAAUUCCAGGUGUAGCGGUGAAAUGCGUAGAGAUCUGGAGGAAUACCGGUGGCGAAGGCGGCCCCCUGGACAAAGACUGACGCUCAGGUGCGAAAGCGUGGGGAGCAAACGGGAUUAGAUACCCGGGUAGUC
This 465-nucleotide ribosomal RNA is filed under the name uncultured Klebsiella sp. RNAcentral describes it as "bacterial SSU rRNA". It matches the Rfam family "Bacterial small subunit ribosomal RNA", at positions 338 to 795 of the family's 1533-position model. Lineage: Bacteria; Pseudomonadati; Pseudomonadota; Gammaproteobacteria; Enterobacterales; Enterobacteriaceae. The record is from RNAcentral.